Molecule: long non-coding RNA, 345 nt
Filed under: Capra hircus (goat)
Lineage: Eukaryota; Metazoa; Chordata; Mammalia; Artiodactyla; Bovidae
Description: lncRNA (ENSCHIG00000007317.1)
Source: RNAcentral
AUGAAGACAGACAUCUGGCUCCACCCUAGCUCUGCUGGUGAAGAACCGUGUGCAAAUGGGGCAUUACCUUGUACCAUCUCAUCUCCUUUGAUUACAGAUUUAUAUACGUUAACAUUGAAGUUGGUCAGUCGUGUCCGACUCUUUGCAACCCCAUGGACUGUAGCCUACCAGGCUCCUCCGUGCAUGGAAUUUUCCAGGCAAGAGUACUGGAGUGGGUUGCCAUUUUCUUCUCCAGGAGAUCUUCCCGACCCAGGGAUCGAACCCGGGUCUCCUGCAUUGAAGGGAGACCGUCUGAGCCACCAGGUAAGUCUAAUAUGUUUUAAUACCUAGGAAGGUGAGACCCUC